This 207-nucleotide ribosomal RNA is filed under the name uncultured bacterium. RNAcentral's name for it is "partial 16S ribosomal RNA". It matches the Rfam family "Bacterial small subunit ribosomal RNA", at positions 568 to 774 of the family's 1533-position model. The record is from RNAcentral.
CACGUAGGCGGAUCGGAAAGUUGGGGGUGAAAUCCCGGGGCUCAACCCCGGAACUGCCUUCAAAACUAUCGGUCUGGAGCUCGAGAGAGGUGAGUGGAAUUCCGAGUGUAGAGGUGAAAUUCGUAGAUAUUCGGAGGAACACCAGUGGCGAAGGCGGCUCACUGGCUCGAUACUGACGCUGAGGUGCGAAAGCGUGGGGAGCAAACA